This 460-nucleotide ribosomal RNA is filed under the name uncultured bacterium. Its description in RNAcentral is "partial 16S ribosomal RNA". It matches the Rfam family "Bacterial small subunit ribosomal RNA", at positions 338 to 795 of the family's 1533-position model. The record is from RNAcentral.
CCUACGGGGGGCAGCAGUGAGGAAUAUUGGUCAAUGGACGAGAGUCUGAACCAGCCAAGUAGCGUGAAGGAUGACGGCUCUAUGGGUUGUAAACUUCUUUUAUAAAGGAAUAAAACGAGCCACGUGUGCAUUUUUGCAUGUACUCUAUGAAUAAGGAUCGGCUAACUCCGUGCCAGCAGCCGCGGUAAUACGGAGGAUCCGAGCGUUAUCCGGAUUUAUUGGGUUUAAAGGGUGCGUAGAUGGGUUGUUAAGUCAGUUGUGAAAGUUUGCGGCUCAACCGUAAAAUUGCAAUUGAUACUGGCAGUCUUGAGUAUAGUUGAGGUAGGCGGAAUGCGUGGUGUAGCGGUGAAAUGCUUAGAUAUCACGAAGAACUCCGAUUGCGAAGGCAGCUUACUAAGCUAUAACUGACAUUGAUGCUCGAAAGUGUGGGGAUCAAACAGGAUUAGAUACCCUAGUAGUC